CUUACACAUGCAGUCGAACGAUGAUGCCCAGCUUGCUGGGCGGAUUAGUGGCGAACGGGUGAGAAAUACGUGAGUAACCUGCCCUUGACUCUGGGAUAAGCCUGGGAAACUGGGUCUAAUACUGGAUACUACCUCUUACCGCAUGGUGGGUGGUGGAAAGGGUUUUACUGGUUUUGGAUGGGCUCACGGCCUAUCAGCUUGUUGGUGGGGUAAUGGCUCACCAAGGCGACGACGGGUAGCCGGCCUGAGAGGGUGACCGGCCACACUGGGACUGAGACACGGCCCAGACUCCUACGGGAGGCAGCAGUGGGGAAUAUUGCACAAUGGGCGGAAGCCUGAUGCAGCGACGCCGCGUGAGGGAUGACGGCCUUCGGGUUGUAAACCUCUUUCAGUAGGGAAGAAGCGAGAGUGACGGUACCUGCAGAAGAAGCGCCGGCUAACUACGUGCCAGCAGCCGCGGUAAUACGUAGGGCGCAAGCGUUGUCCGGAAUUAUUGGGCGUAAAGAGCUCGUAGGCGGUUUGUCGCGUCUGCUGUGAAAGCCCGGGGCUCAACCCCGGGUCUGCAGUGGGUACGGGCAGACUAGAGUGCAGUAGGGGAGACUGGAAUUCCUGGUGUAGCGGUGAAAUGCGCAGAUAUCAGGAGGAACACCGAUGGCGAAGGCAGGUCUCUGGGCUGUUACUGACGCUGAGGAGCGAAAGCAUGGGGAGCGAACAGGAUUAGAUACCCUGGUAGUCCAUGCCGUAAACGUUGGGCACUAGGUGUGGGGGACAUUCCACGUUUUCCGCGCCGUAGCUAACGCAUUAAGUGCCCCGCCUGGGGAGUACGGCCGCAAGGCUAAAACUCAAAGGAAUUGACGGGGGCCCGCACAAGCGGCGGAGCAUGCGGAUUAAUUCGAUGCAACGCGAAGAACCUUACCAAGGCUUGACAUUCACCGGACCGCCCCAGAGAUGGGGUUUCCCUUCGGGGCUGGUGGACAGGUGGUGCAUGGUUGUCGUCAGCUCGUGUCGUGAGAUGUUGGGUUAAGUCCCGCAACGAGCGCAACCCUCGUUCUAUGUUGCCAGCACGUGAUGGUGGGGACUCAUAGGAGACUGCCGGGGUCAACUCGGAGGAAGGUGGGGAUGACGUCAAAUCAUCAUGCCCCUUAUGUCUUGGGCUUCACGCAUGCUACAAUGGCCGGUACAAAGGGUUGCGAUACUGUGAGGUGGAGCUAAUCCCAAAAAGCCGGUCUCAGUUCGGAUUGAGGUCUGCAACUCGACCUCAUGAAGUCGGAGUCGCUAGUAAUCGCAGAUCAGCAACGCUGCGGUGAAUACGUUCCCGGGCCUUGUACACACCGCCCGUCAAGUCACGAAAGUUGGUAACACCCGAAGCCGGUGGCCUAACCCCUUGUGGGAGGGAGCCGUCGAAAGGGGGACCG
RNAcentral lists this ribosomal RNA (1415 nucleotides) under Kocuria sp. HY15(2010). RNAcentral's name for it is "16S ribosomal RNA". It matches the Rfam family "Bacterial small subunit ribosomal RNA". Lineage: Bacteria; Bacillati; Actinomycetota; Actinomycetes; Micrococcales; Micrococcaceae. The record is from RNAcentral.